CGGACAGCGACUUCAAAGUCAUUUGUAGGAGGCUAUAACAUUUGGACGACGGAUACACUGGAUGAUAAGGUAGAUGAUCCAGCCUUAUCUUGGAAUGACACGACGGGUGUUGAACACAGAAAACGUACCGUGUACAAGAAACAAUUGGAGUUUAUGAAAGCUUCAAGGAAUUAAUC
This is a long non-coding RNA of Lytechinus variegatus (green sea urchin), 176 nucleotides long. RefSeq lists it as uncharacterized. The record is from RefSeq and is a predicted model, not a curated record. The transcript is spliced from 3 exons. NCBI's taxonomy places the organism in Eukaryota, Metazoa, Echinodermata, Echinoidea, Temnopleuroida, Toxopneustidae.